RNAcentral lists this ribosomal RNA (485 nucleotides) under uncultured bacterium. RNAcentral describes it as "partial 16S ribosomal RNA". It matches the Rfam family "Bacterial small subunit ribosomal RNA", at positions 28 to 507 of the family's 1533-position model. The record is from RNAcentral.
GAUGAACGCUGGCGGCGUGCUUAACACAUGCAAGUCGAACGGGAUCCAAGGGGUGCUUGCACUUUUUGGUGAGAGUGGCGAACGGGUGAGUAACACGUGAGUAACCUGUCCUUUUCUUUGGGAUAAGCAUUCGAAAGGGUGUUUAAUACCUUAUGUUCUGUCUGCCUCGCAUGGGGUGGGUGGGAAAGGCUUUGGCCGGAUUUGGGUGGGCUCGCGGUCUAUCAGCUUGUUGGUGGGGUGAUGGCUUACCAAGGCUUUGACGGGUAGCCGGCCUGAGAGGGUGGUCGGUCACAUUGGGACUGAGAUACGGCCCAGACUCCUGCGGGAGGCAGCAGUGGGGGAAAUUGCACAAUGGGAGAAAGCCUGAUGCAGCGACGCCGCGUGGGGGAUGAAGGCCUUCGGGUUGUAAACUUCUUUUGCUCUGAACAAGGCAUGCCAGUGGGUGUGUUGAGUGUAGGGGUUGAUUAGCGCCGGCUAACUACGUG